This 497-nucleotide ribosomal RNA is filed under the name uncultured bacterium. RNAcentral's name for it is "partial 16S ribosomal RNA". It matches the Rfam family "Bacterial small subunit ribosomal RNA", at positions 28 to 507 of the family's 1533-position model. The record is from RNAcentral.
GAUGAACGCUGGCGGCGUGCCUAAUACAUGCAAGUCGAGCGAACGGACGAGAAGCUUGCUUUUCUGAUGUUAGCGGCGGACGGGUGAGUAACACGUGGAUAACCUACCUAUAAGACUGGGAUAACUUCGGGAAACCGGAGCUAAUACCGGAUAAUAUUUUGAACCGCAUGGUUCAAAAGUGAAAGACGGGCUUGCUGUCACUUAUAGAUGGAUCCGCGCUGCAUUAGCUAGUUGGUAAGGUAACGGCUUACCAAGGCAACGAUGCAUAGCCGACCUGAGAGGGUGAUCGGCCACACUGGAACUGAGACACGGUCCAGACUCCUACGGGAGGCAGCAGUAGGGAAUCUUCCGCAAUGGGCGAAAGCCUGACGGAGCAACGCCGCGUGAGUGAUGAAGGUCUUCGGAUCGUAAAACUCUGUUAUUAGGGAAGAACAUAUGUGUAAGUAACUGUGCACAUCUUGACGGUACCUAAUCAGAAAGCCACGGCUAACUACGUG